This 114-nucleotide transfer RNA is filed under the name archaeon. RNAcentral's name for it is "tRNA-Ser". It matches the Rfam family "tRNA". From Rfam's summary of the family: Transfer RNA (tRNA) molecules are approximately 80 nucleotides in length. Their secondary structure includes four short double-helical elements and three loops (D, anti-codon, and T loops). The record is from RNAcentral.
GCAACGGUAGCCUAGCCUGGUACGGCGCUGGCCUGGAAAGCCAGUGUGUGAAUGCACCCGGGGGUUCGAUUUAUAAGAAAUCUCUUCUUGAAAGAACAAAUCCCUCCCGUUGCG